RNAcentral lists this unclassified non-coding RNA (306 nucleotides) under uncultured Chalastospora. RNAcentral describes it as "sequence contains ITS1". The stretch from base 1 to 105 matches the Rfam family "5.8S ribosomal RNA", at positions 50 to 154 of the family's 154-position model. Lineage: Eukaryota; Fungi; Ascomycota; Dothideomycetes; Pleosporales. The record is from RNAcentral.
GAAAUGCGAUACGUAGUGUGAAUUGCAGAAUUCAGUGAAUCAUCGAAUCUUUGAACGCACAUUGCGCCCUUUGGUAUUCCAAAGGGCAUGCCUGUUCGAGCGUCAUUUGUACCCUCAAGCUUUGCUUGGUGUUGGGCGUCUUUUGUCUCCAGUUCGCUGGAGACUCGCCUUAAAGUCAUUGGCAGCCGGCCUACUGGUUUCGGAGCGCAGCACAAGUCGCGCUCUUUGCCAGUCAAGGACAGCGUCCAGCAAGCCUUUUUUUCAACUUUUGACUUCGGAUCAGGUAGGGAUACCCGCUGAAUUUAA